CUCUGCCCUGAAUUAUGGUAUUAAUUACCAUAAAGUAACAAGACAUAGGGCAACUGAUGCAACAAACUGAACCAAGAUUCUUUGGGAAGGGAAAGCACAUUUAGGUCCAUGGGCUUUGCAAGAAGUGAGGCUAUGCAAAAUGUUGCCUACUGAACACUGAAGAACUCUGGAAUUUUAUUUUUUAUUUUUAAAGCAUAGCAGUGGAGGAUCACGGCACCUUUUGUGGAGUGGAGCGCAUCUCCAGACAGUGAUGGAAGGGAGGAGAUCUCAUCCUCCCACCUGUGCCAGCAGUCACAGGAUCGCCUGCAGUCCCAAGCAAUCCCACAAGAGUGCCAGAGGGAUGGAGUCAGGCCCAGGCCUUGAAAAGUCCCCAGCCUCCCUAGCUCUGCCCUCUUUCUUCAUGCUCUAGUUUCUCACCCACCCACCCUUGGUUUUAGGGGGUCAACUGAGCUGUUUUAUAACUGGGUCCCUGGUUGACGGGGCCAGAUAGGAAUUUUUCCUCUCAAUUAAUCUGGCCCCACUGUUGAGCAGGGUUUUUUUACCUAUCCCUCAGUGGUUCACUAUGCAAUUGUUAGGUAUUCACCUUACUUCGUCACAACUUAAGGUAGAAAUGGCAUUGGGUAGGAUCAAACAUGAGGAUCCCUAUAAGGGGUCCAGUGAGGUACUCAAUGGCCAAACCCCUAACUUGGGAGGGGCAUUGCAUCAUCCAGUUCACAACAUCCCCCUCACACACACACACAGUUCAAUAAGCAGAGCCACAGGUGCCUUGCGUUGAUGCCUGACCUGGGCCUAAUGCUGGCUAACUCCCAAGGGUAUUUCUCAACUGUUUAUUGGUUGACUUAGCAUUCCAUCAGCAUGGGCUGCCAGAAUGAAGCAGAUUCCCCUCCCUACUGCCAUGCCAACGCCGCUUUACUUGCCUUACUCAAUAAAGUUGUGGCCCUAUUUCAUCUAUAAA
Long non-coding RNA from Rhineura floridana, 955 nucleotides. RefSeq lists it as uncharacterized. The transcript is spliced from 2 exons. Lineage: Eukaryota; Metazoa; Chordata; Lepidosauria; Squamata; Rhineuridae. The record is from RefSeq and is a predicted model, not a curated record.